UGCUCAGUGUUCCCAUUCUGAAUCCUGUGAUUUGGUUGCUUAGUGACAGAGGAACACUCAGUCUGUCUGAAGCUGACAAGGAGCCUAGAGAGAAACUCAGCAAGGUGGAGUCUGUCUGCAUUUGUGAAAAUCAGCCAUCACCUACAGCAAUACUCAGACCUGGCAUUUAUAAGGCAGUUUUCAUCUAUAGAUCUCAACACAGUUUACAAAGGACAGGUAAGCAAGCUAAGGACAAGACAACAAAAUUUUCCAAAAAAAAAUCAUGCAAGGAAAGAAGAAAGAGAAAAUUAAAACAAAAGACAGUUCACUUUCUGACAUUUCCAUUCUUGAAAAGUUUAUGAAAACCUAUGAAAGGCAUUGUGCCUUUUCCCAAAGCUCUGUCAGUGGCAUGAUCAAACGGAGCUUAAGAAAAUGCAUAGAAAAUGAAACUAUUCUUACAAAGUUUGUGCUCACAAACUCUCAGAAUUCCCAGCCAGUCUUCCUCACACCUCUAUUAAGGACAAUUAGAGAUGAACGGUAUAUGUUAGGAAAAGAACUCUGUAUCUGGGGAAUUCAGCUAAACAAUCAAGACAUUGCAAACCUUGCAAUGCUUUUAGAGCGGAAUGGACGUACCAACUAUCCCUUUUGUACUCUAGAAAUAACUCAUGCUCAGAUAGAUGCAUGGUCCAUGGAGCGACUUGGAGCAGCUUUCCCUUUCAGCAACUUGAACUCCAUUGUUCUAGAUUAUACCAAGUUUGGAGAUAAAGGAAUCAACGGACUUGUUUCUGGGUUAGAGGGAAACAGAAAGCUUCUAACCCUCAGCUUAUGCUACUGCAGUUUGGAACCUGAAAGUGGGUCCAAGUUAGGCCCCAUUGUAGCCCAAACUGCCAUUUGCAAUCUUUAUCUAAAUGGUAACAACUUGCAAUGUUUGGGUGCCCUUGAGCUCAUCACACCAAUAGCUAUGUAUGCAGACAAUCUUGGAAGAGAUAAGGAGACAAAUGCCUUACUAUUCAACAAUUAUUCUGAUCAUCAAAUACCAGAAGCAGACAAGGGUUUGGGUAUCCAUUCAACAGCUUCUGGCUUGAACGUUGCUUCCAAAACAGGAAACUCUAACACUGUGGAAAGUAGUAUGAGGAAGGAAAAGAAAAGAAAAGCCUAAUCAAACAUUCUGAACACUUGAUAGAACUUGAUCUAGAUGGCAACGCUAUAGGAGAACUUUGUGCAACAGACAUCCUGGAAGCUCUUAAGGAGAGAAAAAAAGGUGGUAGUGUCUCCAACUUCAGUCCAUAAGCUUUAAAAAUUAUUUUACUUUUUAUUUAGGUGUUCAUCAGGGUGUUUAUACAAAGGAUAUGAGGAAUGUUAUAUGUAAGUUAAAUUUCUAUACAAAUUCACUACUAUUUAAAAUACAAUACAACCUUGAGUAUCUUAGAGAAUUUUCAGUGUAACAGAUGUCAGGGGAAAGGACCCUGUUAUGAAAAAUUGAGCUUUGUGUACUUAUAUUUGGGUGAAUGCAAGGUAAAAGUCAGAAAAAGGAUUCAAAUCCUGAAAAUGGCUAUGUAUUUUCUCUCUCUCUCUCUCUCUCUCUCUAUACACA
This is a long non-coding RNA of Chrysemys picta bellii (western painted turtle), 1573 nucleotides long. Lineage: Eukaryota; Metazoa; Chordata; Testudines; Emydidae. The record is from Ensembl.